UCGCUCUCUUGCUUUGCUGUCGCCAGUCGAUCGGAUUAAUAUAACCUUGCUCCUUAAGUGACUGGAGCCAGUCACUGGGAUGACCUAACCUUACUUUUAGCCGACCGGAGCCAGUGUUUGAGAUGUCCUAACCUUACUUUUAGGCCGACUGGAGCCAGUGGUUGUACUAACCUGCAAUUUCUUCAAAUUGACAAAAAUGGCGUCUCAUGAUCUAAACUAGAAUUGUAAAUAUAAAACUUAAACAAAAUCUCUCAUUCGGGUUUUUGGUCCCGGUCCUGGUUUCUCUGCUCGUUCUGUGGUCGGCUGCGCUUCUUGCAAGGGUGCUCCCGGUUACAACUGUCAACAUUUGUGCUUCCUUAAGAUCGUUCUUUGUAGAUGCGCUGCGACUGCACUGCAUACGAGAAAGGUUGCGCGAGGUUAUGCAAUGCUUAUCGGAUCUUCACGGAUACUAAAAUACAAAGUAAGCUGCAACGAGUGUAAUGCGAACUCAGUAAUGCAGUAAAUAAUACAUAGCGUUAUAUAAUUAUCGAAGAAAUAAAAAAUGACAUAUUUAUUAUAUUU
This is a long non-coding RNA of Dinoponera quadriceps, 561 nucleotides long. RefSeq lists it as uncharacterized. The record is from RefSeq and is a predicted model, not a curated record. The transcript has 2 exons. Lineage: Eukaryota; Metazoa; Arthropoda; Insecta; Hymenoptera; Formicidae.